Molecule: transfer-messenger RNA, 353 nt
Filed under: Desulfobacterales
Lineage: Bacteria; Pseudomonadati; Thermodesulfobacteriota; Desulfobacteria
Also listed under: 2 other names
Description: JABZFP01 sp014237395 Standard tmRNA
Rfam family: transfer-messenger RNA
About the family: Bacterial tmRNA, also known as 10Sa RNA or SsrA, is named for its dual tRNA and mRNA-like properties.
Source: RNAcentral
GGGGGCGAAACGGGUUCGACGGGGGCAAAGAAGCAUUGGCUGCAUGUCGAGCUUUCCUGUCCGCUCGUAAAACGACGGGAAAAUAAAUAUAAUCGCAGACGAUUAUAACUACGCCGUAGCGGCUUAAGCUACCGUCCUUCCAGGUUACUCCUGCGGAUCUGGAAAGGGCGUCGACUAGCGGGAUAGCAACGGUUAAUGCCUGAUGGAACCGAAGCGAAACUCUAAUCAGGAUAAGCUUGAAAGGACCUCGCCCGGAAGGGCCUUGAUGGCUGACACACAAACUUCGGGAUAAGCAUGUAGAUGCCCAUGUGGAAUGUUUUCGGACGCGGGUUCGACUCCCGCCGCCUCCACCA